This 260-nucleotide long non-coding RNA is filed under the name Malus domestica (apple). RNAcentral describes it as "long non-coding RNA (MDOM_LNC000435)". The record is from RNAcentral. Lineage: Eukaryota; Viridiplantae; Streptophyta; Magnoliopsida; Rosales; Rosaceae.
AAUACGAUCACGGAGGAUGAUACAUUUCUCGCUAUCAUGGCCGUUAUGCUCAUGGUAGCAACAAAACAUGCCCGCGUUAUUCGGAGGCGUGUAAUCUGGGUGCCUCGGCUUUGGCUUUGGUAUCAGGUGAGCUAUGCUGGGGUAAAUGGCCGCGCAUGUGGCAUUCAAGGGCGUGUAUGUCUUAUACCUUGGGGUAGGGGGUAUCUUGACGCGGGUUUGACCCACUGCAUUGACUGCCUGGGGGCGAGCGUUAUUGUGGC